Molecule: long non-coding RNA, 532 nt
Filed under: Homo sapiens (human)
Lineage: Eukaryota; Metazoa; Chordata; Mammalia; Primates; Hominidae
Description: HSALNT0140517
Source: RNAcentral
GUGUCAGAAGUGAGGAUCCCAAGUAAGAGUCCUGUGACCCCCCCUGCCAGGAAUACCAGGCAACAAGGAGAAGUUUCUGAAGCCCAGGAACCAUCAAAAGUCUACAUAGGCACAAGUUAAUCAACUUUGCUAGCUUGGGGCCCAAAUAAAAAGAUCUGUGGGCCCCAGAUCUUUGCUCAUGGCCACAGGGCAUGGCAGUGCUCCUAAAAUUGUGGUUGAUGGUGCAGCAGCCUGAGAUUUCCAACCUGAGUCAGUGGUGAAGGAGCACAUUGUGGCAAUGCUGUGAGGAGAAAAUUGGAUUCCAUUCUUCUGGGUUCAUUCCAAGGGAGACACGGAAAUCCUCUCAGAGGGAAUGAACCUGAGCCAAUCUGACUAUCAGAACACUUGGGCUUUUCAGUAGAGGCAAGUGAAGCUCUGAGUCCCAGAAGGAGAGCUCAUGUCCAGUGCAGCACCCCCUAAAAAUAUAAAUUUGGUAUUGGCUAGCAACAUCUUGCCAGGACUUGUUUAUAUUUCUAGACUUCUGUGAAUGUUA